RNAcentral lists this ribosomal RNA (450 nucleotides) under uncultured Variovorax sp. RNAcentral describes it as "bacterial SSU rRNA". It matches the Rfam family "Bacterial small subunit ribosomal RNA", at positions 934 to 1382 of the family's 1533-position model. The record is from RNAcentral. Lineage: Bacteria; Pseudomonadati; Pseudomonadota; Betaproteobacteria; Burkholderiales; Comamonadaceae.
GGAGUAUGUGGUUUAAUUCGAUGCAACGCGAAGAACCUUACCUACCCUUGACAUGUCCGGAACUUGCCAGAGAUGGCUUGGUGCCCGAAAGGGAAUCGGAACACAGGUGCUGCAUGGCUGUCGUCAGCUCGUGUCGUGAGAUGUUGGGUUAAGUCCCAUAACGAGCGCAACCCUUAUCGUUAGUUGCCAGCUGGUAAAGCAGGGGACUCUAGCGAAACUGCCACCGUAAGGUGAGAGGAAGGUGGGAUGACGUCAAAUCAGCACGGCCCUUAUGUCCAGGGCUACACACGUGUUACAAUGGCCGGCACAGAGGGCAGCUACCUGGUGACAGGAUGCUAAUCUCGAAAACCGGUCUCAGUUCGGAUCGAAGUCUGCAACUCGACUUCGUGAAGCUGGAUUCGCUAGUAAUCGCGCAUCAGCCAUGGCGCGGUGAAUACGUUCCCGGGCCUU